RNAcentral lists this transfer-messenger RNA (397 nucleotides) under Minisyncoccia. Its description in RNAcentral is "o UBA9983 X1 Standard tmRNA". It matches the Rfam family "transfer-messenger RNA". Rfam says of the family: Bacterial tmRNA, also known as 10Sa RNA or SsrA, is named for its dual tRNA and mRNA-like properties. Its role is to liberate the mRNA from a stalled ribosome. Lineage: Bacteria; Bacillati; Minisyncoccota. The record is from RNAcentral.
GGGGAUGAUCGGCUUUGACAAAUAUUUAACGUUGAAAUAGGCAAGCCGAGGUGAAGUCUCGCCUGCCUCGCCUUAUUUAGGCGGGGUAAUCCUUCAAAACACAAUAAGUGCAAACUUAUUCGGCAAAGCAAAAGCUCCGGCUUUUGCGCCAGCUUUCGCCUAAUUUGGCUUAAGCCGUUUCUCUGGCUAAUUCUCGGCCGGCCAAAAGAAAUGUCAUAUCUUCCGAGAUAGAUGAUUUUCUUCGGCUUAAGGAAAAUCAUUGAAAAUUUAUUAAGCCGAAAUCAAGAAUGUUUUGCCUGAUUCAUAAUUCUUGAUUCAUCAUUCCAAUCGGGCUAAGCUUGUAGAAUAUUUUAACAUUAAUGUUUGGACAAGGGUUCAAUUCCCUUCAUCUCCACAA